This 2059-nucleotide long non-coding RNA is filed under the name Daucus carota (carrot). Its description in RNAcentral is "long non-coding RNA (DCAR_LNC007012)". The record is from RNAcentral. Lineage: Eukaryota; Viridiplantae; Streptophyta; Magnoliopsida; Apiales; Apiaceae.
GUGCCAUGCUAACACUAUGAUUUUAGAGUUAUGGGAGUUUACAUAUACAGUGUUCUUUUGUUUUUUUAUUGGAUUAGCUGACUCCUUUUGUGAUCCCUUUUGCGAAUUUGUGUUGAUUGUUUGAGUUGGCCUUUAAACAUCUGUCAUGUAUGAUUUUUAGUUUAUGGUUUCUAUAUUUGAGACAUCAUAAAAUAUUUGUAAGAACGCCUGAACUAAAUUGUUUGUUCUGUUUGAUCCAGUUAAUAUGGAAAAUAAUGCUAACAUUUUGUGCAAAUUAGUUAAUCAGGCAUUGCCUCUGGUAUGCCAAGUUACUCUAUUCUACCAAAUGGUUCAAUAAUUCAGGCUCUAUUGUCUAUAUGCCUACCUAAUCCACAUUCAGCCUGAGCUCCCUCAGAAAAAUUAUAGCCUUCAAGGUUUGUCCACAGGACAAAUAUUACAGUUGCAGUUUCGUCUCAGAAACAACCACUGGCUACAGCUACACCUGCCACAGCUGCUAAACAAUUGGAUAGUGGGAACAUACCUCCUCGAAGCAAAAGAAAUCCAUGUUCUGAUGUAGAAGAUUUGGUACUGAUUGCUAUUGUAAAAAGAUGCGGUGAAGGUAACAUCUUAAUCCAACGUUUUGCAUAUUGUUUGCAUUGACUUGAAUCCUAAUGAAAUUGUUCUAUUCUUCUAAUUUUACAAUUUUUUUAAAUAUAUACAGAUGUUUUAUUCUUAUUAUUUUACUUCUUCUUCUUCUUAUUAUUAUUUUAUUAAAUUAUAAUUAUGGUUUUUUCUCCCACUAUAAUGGAAGGAAGGAGAGGUUGUUCUCGAAAUUCUAAUAACUCACCUUUGUAUGAUAGUCCUUAAAAGCUGAUGGGGAAGAGGCAAAUUCCAAUGUCCAUAUUCAGGGAUAAAACAUGCAUUGAAUAGUAUGUCAUCUCCUUUUUAUAAAAUUAGUACACCUUAAAUAUAGAAAACAUUUAUUCAGUCGUUCAGCUAUUCUCCUGACUACAAUGUUGUCAAAUUAGAUAUACAAAGGAGAGAGGUGUGUGGAUGUUAACACCUCCAUUAAAAUGACCAUAUAUUUUUAUACAGGGUUAAUUUUCAAUGUGACAUGCCGCGUGUACCAAUUUCCUGUAAUACUUAAUAUAUAUCUGAUUUAUUUUUUUAAAUUCGCAUUUGUAGGAUAAACAUAUCUAGGCAGGAACUUAGGGAAUGCAUUUUGUGGUUUUAAUUGUGAAAGCUGAAGACGUAAAUCAAGUAUGUUCUAAAUCAGUUGAUAUAGAUUCUCCACCGUCAUGUAAGCAUCUUUCUAUUCUCAAAAUCAUUCUAAAAUGCAGUAGCCUCUUAAAUGAAGUUUGAUACCCGAACAGAAAUCAUAAAGGCAUUGUCCGAGGAUGCAGCCGUAAAAGAUAAGGGGGACUGAAUGACUAUGUUUCUUUGAUUCAGUGGAUCAUCUCUUCCACUUCUAAGUUUUCUAAUAUUCUGUAGCAGCUUUUUUAGCUUAUAAGAUAGAUAUAUAUAUAUAUAUAUUUAGCUAUUUUAUGUUCAUGGAUCCAAUUUAGUUCUAAAGUAGCAGCUAUCCAUUAUCAAAUAAGAUAUAUUUUUCUUCUCAUGACAGGUUGCAUAUGGAACUUCUUGAAGAUCAGUUACAGAAGUAGGAGUUGAUCAAGUCCUCUCAUUUCAGGUUCAUUUUCUUUAGUACUAUUGGGUUUAUUGAGUCGUCUCAUUUUGAGGUUUUGAAUGUUUCACUGUAUUUCUUUGCAUUCACUAUGUGUGUUCUUAUUAUUUCAUAUUCCAAUUUGUUUUGCUUUACAGUGGAUUUGUCAAAUAUUUAUGGUGGCUCAUUCCAUGAAAAUGGAAUGUACUUGGCAACUUUUGAGGCAAGAAAGUUGUUGCAGCAGUGGACCUUGGUAAAAUGUAGAUUUAUUUUGUUUUUUUGGUGUAAAUCUUUUUUCUAUAUAAACGUAGCUACAUUAGAAUUGUCAUUCAGUUGUUUUAUAUACUCUAGAUUACAUUGUAACAUUGGAAAGUGAUGAAUUUGUUUACACUUAUGAUAACAUGACAAAAAUAGUGCAGG